UACGAAGGGGGCAAGCGUUGUUCGGAAUUAUUGGGCGUAAAGGGAGCGUAGGCGGUUCGGCAAGUCUUUAGUGAAAUCUCUGGGCUCAACUCAGAGUCUGCUGGAGAAACUGCCGGGCUGGAGUAUGGGAGAGGUGAGUGGAAUUCCCGGUGUAGCGGUGAAAUGCGUAGAUAUCUGGAGGAACACCGGUGGCGAAGGCGGCAUCCUGGACCAUUACUGACGCUGAGGAGCGAAAGCCAGGGGAGCAAACGGG
RNAcentral lists this ribosomal RNA (253 nucleotides) under uncultured bacterium. RNAcentral's name for it is "partial 16S ribosomal RNA". It matches the Rfam family "Bacterial small subunit ribosomal RNA", at positions 524 to 776 of the family's 1533-position model. The record is from RNAcentral.